RNAcentral lists this ribosomal RNA (496 nucleotides) under uncultured bacterium. RNAcentral describes it as "partial 16S ribosomal RNA". It matches the Rfam family "Bacterial small subunit ribosomal RNA", at positions 29 to 507 of the family's 1533-position model. The record is from RNAcentral.
ACGCACGCUGGCGGCGUGCCUCAUACAUGCCAGUUGAGCGAUGAAGAUUGGUGCUUGCACCAAUUUGAAGAGCAGCGAACGGGUGAGUAACGCGUGGGGGAUCUGCCUUUGAGCGGGGGACAACAUUUGGAAACGAAUGCUAAUACCGCAUAACAACUUUAAACAUAAGUUUUAAGUUUGAAAGAUGCAAUUGCAUCACUCAAAGAUGAUCCCGCGUUGUAUUAGCUAGUUGGUGAGGUAAAGGCUCACCAAGGCGAUGAUACAUAGCCGACCUGAGAGGGUGAUCGGCCACAUUGGGACUGAGACACGGCCCAAACUCCUACGGGAGGCAGCAGUAGGGAAUCUUCGGCAAUGGACGAAAGUCUGACCGAGCAACGCCGCGUGAGUGAAGAAGGUUUUCGGAUCGUAAAACUCUGUUGGUAGAGAAGAACGUUGGUGAGAGUGGAAAGCUCAUCAAGUGACGGUAACUACCCAGAAAGGGACGGCUAACUACGUG